Molecule: ribosomal RNA, 445 nt
Filed under: uncultured bacterium
Lineage: Bacteria
Description: partial 16S ribosomal RNA
Rfam family: Bacterial small subunit ribosomal RNA
Source: RNAcentral
GUGAGGAAUAUUGGUCAAUGGACGCGAGUCUGAACCAGCCAAGUAGCGUGAAGGAUGACUGCCCUAUGGGUUGUAAACUUCUUUUAUAAGGGAAUAAAGUGAGGGACGUGUCCCUUUUUGUAUGUACCUUAUGAAUAAGGAUCGGCUAACUACGUGCCAGCAGCCGCGGUAAUACGUAGGGGGCAAGCGUUGUCCGGAAUGAUUGGGCGUAAAGGGCGCGUAGGCGGCCUGGUAAGUCUGGAGUGAAAGUCCUGCUUUUAAGGUGGGAAUUGCUUUGGAUACUGUCGGGCUUGAGUGCAGGAGAGGUAAGUGGAAUUCCCGGUGUAGCGGUGAAAUGCGUAGAGAUCGGGAGGAACACCAGUGGCGAAGGCGACUUACUGGACUGUAACUGACGCUGAGGCGCGAAAGUGUGGGGAGCAAACAGGAUUAGAAACCCGAGUAGUCC